Long non-coding RNA from Balaenoptera ricei (Rice's whale), 1346 nucleotides. RefSeq lists it as uncharacterized. The record is from RefSeq and is a predicted model, not a curated record. The transcript is spliced from 5 exons. NCBI's taxonomy places the organism in Eukaryota, Metazoa, Chordata, Mammalia, Artiodactyla, Balaenopteridae.
UAUGGGAGGGCAGGGAUUGCUCCCGGCCUCUUCCAGAGCGCGGCCACGGCCUCGCGGGGCCUGGACGGCGCAGGCGAGGCUGCGGAGGCGAAGGGGACGGCGGAACCAGCUCCGCCCCGGCGACCCGGCCGGCAGCGGAGCCCGGCGUCGAUUCCUCCCCGCGGCUGAGGCGCUCGUGGGCUCAAGGCCGCAGGGCCUCCAGGGGCGGCCAAAGGAAAGGGUGGCAGGACCCAAGUCUAGUGGAAAUCAGCAGCCAUGUCAUGAGGACACUUAGGCAGCCUGUACUGAGGCUUUCCACCAACAGAUAUGUGAGUCAUCUUGGAAGCCAGUCCUCCAGUCCUGCUCAAGGCUUUGGCUGACAGCAACCCGUGCCAACAUCCUGACUGCAACUUCAGGAAACCCUGAGCUAUGCCUGCCCAGCUAAGCCACUCCUCGUUUCCUGACUCUCAGAAACUGAUCUACUAGACCAGGGGUCCCCAAUCCUGGCCUGUUAGGAACCAGGCCGCACAGCAGGAGGUGAGCGGCAGGCAAGUGAGCGAAGCUUCAUCUGUAUUUACAGCCGCUCCCCAUCGCUUGCAUUACUGCCUGAGCUCUGUCUCUUGUCAGCAUUAUGCUUCAUCCCUACAUACCUUACAUGCUCCCUCAGAAACAUGGAUAUACAAACGCAGGUUACCAACUGACUGAUGCACCUCUGGUUCUUCUUUCCGGAAGGAAGAAAGAAGAGGAGGAAACAGUGGCCUAGUAGGCAUCUUCUUCCCUCUCACUGACCAAGACUGUGUGUUGCAUGACUACCCCCUGCUACAAGGGAGCUGGAAAAUCAAUUCUUUUCUUUUAUAUUCUCCACAUUAGAGAUAAGAAAGGGAGAAAGGAGUUAAAAAUGGACUCUGAGCUAGCCAACCCACAGUAUCAAUCACAAAAAAAUGCCCAAAGAACUUUCAGAGAUACAUAAACCCCCAAAGAAAGGAGAAAUUCUAAGGAACCCUACCACCUUACCAACAAUACACUUCACAGAUGAUUUUCUCUCCCAACAUAAAACUUGCAAACUUGGGCUUCCCUGGUGGCACAGUGGUUGAGAAUCCGCCUGCCAAUGCAGGGGACACGGGUUCGAGCCCUGGUUUGGGAAGAUCCCACAUGCCACGGAGCAGCUAGGCCCGUGAGCCACAAUUACUGAGCCUGCGCAUCUGCAGCCUGUGCUCCGCAACAAGAGAGGCCGCGAUAAUGAGAGGCCCGCGCACCGCAAUGAAGAGUGGCCCCCACUUGCUGCAACUAGAGAAAGCCCUCGCACAGAAACGAAGACCCAACACAGCCAUAAAGAAAGAAAGAAAGAAAGAAAGAAUCAUGGUCAA